GUAUGAUGGCAGAUCUGAGAUUCGUCGUCUUUCCUUCUGAAUGCUUCUUUGUCAUAUUGGUGCUGAUUUCAGCAAUCUUUGAAUCCAAGAUCGCAAGCUGUCUGAAGUCUUGUCAGAGCGAAGUGAGAUCUCAACGAGCGAAAAGAUCACAGCGAAAGCAGAAAACAGCAGAAACGUGCGCUGAUAAAAGAUCACAGAAGAACCAGAGCACAGGAGACGCACAAGAGAUGAGAUCUCUGAAGACUGGAGAGCAGGAGGAGCAUCAGCCGGAUUCAGCAGAAUCACAAACAUGAUCCACAACCAGAGAAAACUGUCUCAC
This is a long non-coding RNA of Sinocyclocheilus anshuiensis, 319 nucleotides long. RefSeq lists it as uncharacterized. NCBI's taxonomy places the organism in Eukaryota, Metazoa, Chordata, Actinopteri, Cypriniformes, Cyprinidae. The transcript is spliced from 3 exons. The record is from RefSeq and is a predicted model, not a curated record.